RNAcentral lists this ribosomal RNA (253 nucleotides) under uncultured bacterium. Its description in RNAcentral is "partial 16S ribosomal RNA". It matches the Rfam family "Bacterial small subunit ribosomal RNA", at positions 524 to 776 of the family's 1533-position model. The record is from RNAcentral.
UACGUAGGGGACAAGCGUUGUCCGGAAUCAUUGGGCGUAAAGCGCGUGUAGGCGGUUCGAUAAGUCUGCUGUGAAAGUCCAGGGCUCAACCCUGGGAUGCCGGUGGAUACUGGCGGACUAGAGUACGGAAGAGGCGAGUGGAAUUCCCGGUGUAGCGGUGAAAUGCGCAGAUAUCGGGAGGAACACCAAUUGCGAAGGCAGCUCGCUGGGACGUCACUGACGCUGAGACGCGAAAGCGUGGGGAGCAAACAGG